CGACGAGGCUUCCAUCCCUCAAACUGAAGAAUGGUGUCGCGUAAUAGUAACGAGCCCGGUCUCCGAUAACAUAUCAACUUAGAAUUAGAGAUCGAUGUGGAUGGUGAACGGCGUUUCUCGAAAACUUGUCAAAAAAUACGGAUUACUUGUAGAAUUUCAGAGCAAAUAAUUGGCAAAUACGGGUCAGCCAAUCGGAACGUUCGUUAAAAAUAUUGUAGAGAAGAAGAAAGAUCAGACCUGGAAGGAAUUACGAUUUCUAUUAGGCGUUUGUUUUUUGUGUUUGUAAUUUUGGACCGAGUGAAAAUUACUCGGCACUGUUCACAGUCUAUUACUUACAUUAAUAUAAUUAUAUUCUCUUAACUCAGUUUGGGUAGAUCGAAGUUACCUUGAAUUUGCCUACCAUCGUUUAAAACACCAUCCACAUGGUUCACUCUCCCCUUACAUAAUAAGUCGCUCGGAAAUAUAUAUACAUAAACAUUAUUGGUGUUUCCAAUGGUCAACUCCAAUGACAAAUUUAUUAUAUACUGCCCCCCGUUCGAGUGCUAUUGCGCGCGCGCGCGCGCGCGAAUUUCAUCACGUUGCCAUUGAUCAUUUAAACUGUAAUACUUGCUUUGUGUAUAAUUGAAAAAUUCUCAGUUUCUUUAUCCAUCUAUCGUAUAAUAAAUUUAAGCAAUUCACUCGUUAGCCUGUUACCAGGAUCAUUUAGCGAAUAGAAACGCUCCAAGUAGUAGCAAUUGCGGUGGUCCCUGGUUUCAAGAAACAAUAUUGAUUCGAAAGCUCAACGAAUGUCGCAACGACGAGUCUUGUGUACGAGGCAAAAAUCGCGACUCGAAAGCGGGGAUUACUGCGAAAUAAAGACGGAGUUAACUGAAAAACGAGCGCGACGUAAAUUAUUUCCGAUACACGAGUAUCGCGACACAAAUAAAUACAAGUUUUGAAUAAGUAGAGGCUUUGAAUAAAUUUGUAAUAAACGAAGCACGGGAAGGUACGAUGCUUUCACAGUGGAAUCAGAAAUCGAACGACGCACGUACGUUUUCUGUAAAGAAUGAUACUGUAAUUGUUUCAAUUUCGCGACAAAUUGGUUCAUCUGUUUCGGUUGUAAACUAUUUCCCUUUCCAACGAUGCCAUCGAGCUUUCGAGAUCGUAAUUUUAAGUGAAUCUUUAAUUCUUCAAAGAGAAUAAGAUGCGUCUGGAUGGAAAGGCAAAGCACGCGAUCGUAAGGCUCUCCGGAAUUCCCAACGAAGCGAAAGAUUGAUCGAUGCGUCACGAUCCAGCGAUCGGAAUGAUUCACUGGAUCUCACUCGGAAUUCCGGGAUCGCGCGCCAGAGCGUCAUCGAACGAUUUUUUUUUAUUUAGGAACAGGCUCUGGGACUUUUUAUCGAAGUAUUCUGUAUUUGAAUGAUUGAGUGUAUAUCCGAGGAAAAUCGUGUACAAAUGAAAGAUAUGUUCGCUUUCUUUUUAUAUGUUUAUUUGGGUUGUUGUUCCGAGUACUCGUGUGUUCGAAUAAUGGCACUCGAGUACUCAAUAUUCGUAUACUGACGUUCGUAAACUCAAUUAUUCGAAUAGUAAUAUUCGAGUAAUUGUAUUUUAAAGGUUUCAUUAUACAAAUAAACAUGUUCCAAUAUCCUAAUACAGAAACUUCGUUCGCGUCAUACGAACAACCAAUAAGUAUUCAAAUACACAUUAAAAUAUCGUAACAGUCCCAGUAUCUGGUACGCAUCGAGCAACACCGACUCGUCACGCAAUAUUAUGUAUCGUAUUUUUCGUUGCAUUGUACAUAUUUGUAAAGAUCGUUUAGGUUAAUUUCUCGCGGCUUCGAGCAGUGUGCGUGCGUAUAACUCUGGGAAAUACCCACGAGUGACGAGCGAGCGCGGAGAUCGCGCUCCGAUUGUAAAAAGCUGUUUAUCGAUUAAAUGUAAUUUCCGUCGAA
This is a long non-coding RNA of Hylaeus anthracinus, 1930 nucleotides long. RefSeq lists it as uncharacterized. The record is from RefSeq and is a predicted model, not a curated record. The transcript has 2 exons. Lineage: Eukaryota; Metazoa; Arthropoda; Insecta; Hymenoptera; Colletidae.